AGCAGUCGCCGCGGGAAUACGUAGGGUGCGAGCGUUAAUCGGAAUUACUGGGCGUAAAGCGGGCGCAGACGGUUACUUAAGCAGGAUGUGAAAUCCCCGGGCUCAACCUGGGAACUGCGUUCUGAACUGGGUGACUAGAGUGUGUCAGAGGGAGGUAGAAAUCCACGUGUAGCAGUGAAAUGCGUAGAGAUGUGGAGGAAUACCGAUGGCGAAGGCAGCCUCCUGGGAUAACACUGACGUUCAUGCCCGAAAGCGUGGGUAGCAAACAGGAUUAGAUACCCCUGUAGUCCCUGUCUCUUAUAC
This 303-nucleotide ribosomal RNA is filed under the name uncultured bacterium. Its description in RNAcentral is "partial 16S ribosomal RNA". It matches the Rfam family "Bacterial small subunit ribosomal RNA", at positions 507 to 807 of the family's 1533-position model. The record is from RNAcentral.